CCUACGGGUGGCAGCAGUGAGGAAUAUUGGUCAAUGGACGAGAGUCUGAACCAGCCAAGUAGCGUGAAGGAUGACUGCCCUAUGGGUUGUAAACUUCUUUUAUAUGGGAAUAAAAUGUUCCACGUGUGGGAUUUUGUAUGUACCAUAUGAAUAAGGAUCGGCUAACUCCGUGCCAGCAGCCGCGGUUAUACGGAGGGUCCGAGCGUUAUCCGGAUUUAUUGGGGUUAAAGGGAUCGUAGGUGGAUUGUUAAGUCAGUUGUGAAAGUUUGCGGCUCAACCGUAAAAUUGCAGUUGAAACUGGCAGUCUUGAGUACAGUAGAGGUGGGCGGAAUUCGUGGUGGAGCGGUGAAAUGCUUAGAUAUCACGAAGAACUCCGAUUGCGAAGGCAGUUCACUGGACUGCAACUGACACUGAGGCUCGAAAGUGUGGGUAUCAAACAGGAUUAGAUACCUGGGUAGUC
RNAcentral lists this ribosomal RNA (460 nucleotides) under uncultured bacterium. RNAcentral's name for it is "partial 16S ribosomal RNA". It matches the Rfam family "Bacterial small subunit ribosomal RNA", at positions 338 to 795 of the family's 1533-position model. The record is from RNAcentral.